GUGCUCAUUUCGGCAGCAUAUAUACUAAAAUUGGAAUGAUACAGAGAAGAUUAGCAUGGCCCCUGUGCAAGGAUGACAUGCAAAAGCUCUUUCUAGGGCAAGCAUUA
Small nuclear RNA from Suncus etruscus (white-toothed pygmy shrew), 107 nucleotides. The record is from RefSeq and is a predicted model, not a curated record. Lineage: Eukaryota; Metazoa; Chordata; Mammalia; Eulipotyphla; Soricidae.